AGUAAUUUUGUUGCUAGUUACUGUAUUACUGGAAAAUGUAUUCCUAGGCUUUAAGAUUUGGGAAGCGUGUGAGUCUAACUUCUCAAACAGAAUUUGACAAGGACAUGGCAGCGUUUUAAAAAGUCAGGGAAAGGAAAGAGGUGUGUUCAGCAUUCCUGCCCCAUCUUAACACAUUCUUUUUCUCAUCUUAACAGUGGUAAUAUUUUAUGUUAUUUUGGUUUGAUUUUUGUUUGUGGCAUAUGGCUCUGCUGUCCUACGACUCUAAGUAGAAGAGAAAAUAGUACCAAUAAUUUCCUCGUGGAGAUGCACCUCUCUCUCUUAAGUCUUGAAGAAUGUUUGAGGAAAAGUGCUUUCAGCUGGGCUGAUGAGAACACCUUGGCACUCUUUUCUGCAAUGGGCACUGAUUGAGGGUCUUCCUGGUGUGGCAUCAUCAAAUCCCUGUUGCUCAAACCCACAAAUUAGCUCGUUCUUAUCUACAAGUAGCAGGGGCCCUAAAGCUCUCUGAGAAGAUCUCACACUGUGUCUCCUACAUUUCAUCUUCUAUAAUCUCUUAUUCUUAGAGACAGAAAGAUGGUUAAAAGACAUCACUUCAUUUCUUUCUCUGGAUUUGGAAAGAGUUAUAUAUUGGGAUUAUGCUGUCAGUUUACACUUGCAUUGUUUAAAUUAGAGGAAAGGUUAUUUUGUACAGAACAAAUAAAAAUUACUCUUUAACUACCUUUCAGAAUAUCCCAACUUUUAACAUAAGCUGUUUUGUAAAGGCUGGUUGUAGUGA
Molecule: long non-coding RNA, 772 nt
Filed under: Pongo abelii (Sumatran orangutan)
Lineage: Eukaryota; Metazoa; Chordata; Mammalia; Primates; Hominidae
Description: lincRNA
Source: RNAcentral